This 426-nucleotide long non-coding RNA is filed under the name Phoenix dactylifera (date palm). RNAcentral's name for it is "long non-coding RNA (PDAC_LNC013803)". The record is from RNAcentral. Lineage: Eukaryota; Viridiplantae; Streptophyta; Magnoliopsida; Arecales; Arecaceae.
AGUAUGUACCUUUCUGGCGAUGUCGAGGCAUUACUGGAGCGCCGGAAUGAUGCAGUCGAAUUAGCAUUUCCUCUUUGUUGCGAAAUGGAGGAGACACUUAAAAACUAGUAGCACGUUAUUUAUUAUUUGUAUCUCAUUUGUCCGAUUCCUUUCCACCCAAGAAAAAAUAAAAUUAGAAGUGGGUAAAGAAUCUGUUUUGGUGAUUUGCAUGAAUCCAAAUAAUCCAUAGUGGUGGUGUCGGUUUUGUUAUUUGAGAAUCUAGGUCUGCAUUCAUUACAGUGGGUGGUUCUGUUCUUUUUGACAUAAUAGUUCCAUUGGCUAAAAUAAUAGCUGCCUGCAAGGGAUUGGUAUAUGCCGUCACUAUCUUACAUGCAAAUUAUAUCAUUUUUGAAGGAGAUUCUAGAAAUGUUGUUAUUAUCAUGGAUC